Molecule: ribosomal RNA, 254 nt
Filed under: uncultured bacterium
Lineage: Bacteria
Description: partial 16S ribosomal RNA
Rfam family: Bacterial small subunit ribosomal RNA
Source: RNAcentral
UACGGGGGGAGCAAGCGUUGUUCGGAUUUACUGGGCGUAAAGGGCGCGUAGGCGGUCGUGACAAGUCACUUGUGAAAUCUCCGGGCUUAACUCGGAACGGUCAAGUGAUACUGUCGGACUAGAGUACGGAAGAGGCGAGUGGAAUUCCCGGUGUAGCGGUGAAAUGCGCAGAUAUCGGGAGGAACACCUAUUGCGAAGGCAGCUCGCUGGGACGUCACUGACGCUGAGACGCGAAAGCGUGGGGAGCAAACAGG